This is a long non-coding RNA of Ruditapes philippinarum (Manila clam), 3364 nucleotides long. RefSeq lists it as uncharacterized. The transcript is spliced from 2 exons. The record is from RefSeq and is a predicted model, not a curated record. Lineage: Eukaryota; Metazoa; Mollusca; Bivalvia; Venerida; Veneridae.
CUUUGAAAGAAAUUAAAAGAGUGUUAAAGAAGGGUGGACAGUAUGUAUUUCUGGAGCAUGUUGCAGCAGAAAGGAAUUCAUGGCGAUGGUUUUCUCAGUGCAUCAUGAAUCCCUUACACUGGAUCUUUGCAGAUGGCUGCGAGGUGAAAAGAAAUAUAGAUAAGUUCAUUAAAGAAGCAGGUUUCUCGGAUGUUUAUAUGGAAAAGUUCUACCCCAGGAACAUGCCUUUUUGGAUAAAACCAUGUAUACUUGGUAUAGCCACUAAAUAGAAUUAGAUGAUUCUUUUUAAUAAACCUUUUUAUUGUAUCAAAAACAUAUACAUGUAGGUGUUACCAACACAUCAGGUGAAAAAUAUAUUUGUAUUGGAAAAUGACUUUUGAUUUAAGUCAAACUUGCAAUGCUUUAUUACAUGUAAUGUUAAGUCAUUUGUUAUCAAUUUUAUGUGUUGUCUGGAUCUUAAUUAAGAUACAGGGAAUUAAAUCAGGCAAUAUACACUUUACUAAAGAAUGAUUUAUACUGUACUAAAGAAUGAAUUAUCUCUAUAAUUUAGACAACAAGAUUUUUAAGUUGAUCUUUUAUUCUAUUCAGCAAAAAAGUUAUAUUUUUUAUACUAUGAGUUUAGUUUAAACCAAAAUUUUAUUUAACUAUUUGUACCUUUGUUAAGAUUAUUAAUUUUGUUCAAAUGCUUUUUUUUUGGAUUUGUUAAGAUUUAUUAAUUUUGUUCAAAUGCUUUUUUUUUGGAUUUGUUAAGAUUGUAUCAUAUUUUAUCUGUAUAAAGAUGCAUUUUUAGAUAGCUUUAAACAAUUUAACAUAGUUACAUUGUUUUUAAUUCACCCGAGUGCUUAGAGUUCAGCUAUUUGUGAUGGCAUGUUGUCAGUUGUUAUCCACAAUUUUCUUCAAACAACAUCUCCUGAACUACCAGAUGCAUUUUUGAUUAAACUCAUUGAGUGACCUUCAAUAGUUAUAUGAUUGGUUGCUAUCAGAUACACAUUUAGAUGCAGGUCACCCAAGAUAAAAAUUGACUUUAAAUAAAAAUGAAAUUUUUAAAAAUAAAAUUCUCCUCAUAAACUGAAGUGCCAAGAGCUAAAAUAUUUUGCAUGUAACAUCACCUAGUAGUCUCUACAAAAGUUGUAUAUGUCAUACCUAUCUGGUAAAAAUUUGCUUUAAAUCUUCUGUGAAAACUCAUUGUACUGAGCAUAGAUAUUUGGCAUGACUGUAGAAUUACAAUGUAAGAUCACUUUUGUUACAAUAACAUAUGUGAAUAAUAAUUGGAAAUUAUCUUUAAAAAUCUUUGAUAUUUGGCAUGGUGCAUGCCAUGUUGAUCUCUGACUCAACAAAAAAUGACCCUUGUUACCUACUGCAUUAAAGAAUUAUGACCUAUUUAAGCAAUGAAUCUUAGGUGAGUGCUCUAGGGCCAUCAUGGCUCUCUUGUAUAAAAAGUUACAUUUUUAGAUAAUUUUUAGUCUACUUUUAAAGAAAAAAGCAGAGCUCUUGUCAUGACCAACUUAUCAGUGUUGGCCUUCGUUAACCUUUUUGGUUAAAAUUUCAAUAAUGGUUAUUACCUUGAAUACUAAUAAUUCUUAAACAUUACCACUUUAUUAUAUGAAUGCAAGUUGGUGAGUUCUUUCUAUCACAUCCAAUUUCAGGUCAAUGUCAAGGUCAUUUGUUCCUAUAAUAUGUAAUAGUCCAUAUUUUUCAUAAACAAUCAAAGCUAUUCAAUUAAAAUUUGGUAUACAUUUUCAUCAAAAUAUGACACCGUUUCAUAUGGGCGUAUAAACAUAAAUUAAUAUUUUGUAAAAUAUGCCCCUUUUUGACGUAGAUGUUUCUGCGUUGGUCAAUCAUUCUUGAUAAGAGUCAUGUCUCAAAAAACACUUUAAAUUUGGAAGUUAUUUUUCACUUUCAAAAAUAUAAUAUGUUUGUAAAGGAUAAAUAGCCAUGAAAGACUUGUUUUUAAAAAAAUCCCAAUUUUGUAUCUUUUAAUUAUUUUCCUUAUUUUCUCAUAAACCAUCAUAGAUAUUCGCUUCUAACUGGAACUUUUUGUUUGCUUCCAAGGGCAGGUAAUUCUGCUAAGCAGUUUUUAAGAAUUAUGCCCCUAUACAUGUACCUUCUUUGAUUUUAUGUUCUCUGUAUUACUGAGAAAAGUGGAGCAUGCUGCUUCUGUGACAGCUAAAAAACUAACUACAUGUAGUUAAUUAUAGUUCUUAUUGUCUUUAAAUUGUAUAUACAUGUAUAUAUUAUUGUUUAUCCAUUUCAUAUUUUAAUCAAAACAUGUCAGUUACAAACUGAUAGAAAUGUCUUUCUUUUUGUGUUCAUCAAAUUUUAAAGGUUUAUUUUUGAAAAUUAUGAAAUUUUAACAAGAAUUUUAACAAUAAAUUAAUUCUUUUAAUUUACUUCAAACCCUGUUAUGCCUUAAAAUUGUUUAUUUUUAUUUCUCAAAAACCUUCUAUCUUUGGUAUCUUGUCACAGUUUCCAAAAAAUACUCAUUUGCCAUAUACAUAAACUAUCUUUUUCUAAUUAUGCUCUGCUUGCAAAUGGUAUAUUGAGGGAAUUAGUACUUUGUAUGGAAAUCAAAAUCCGAUUUGAUUGUUUGUUUGGUGUAUAUGCAGUUUUGGUUGGUCAAAUUAAUCAGCUUUCCAGGAAAACAAACCAAUAACUUCCAAUUUUUAGCAAAUGACCAGUGACUAAUCCAUAAUGAUUCCUUAAUUAGAAGUGAGAGAUAAAUAAGAAUUAGAAUAACUCUAUGUCUGUGACCACUAAAUCAGAUAAUUAGAUGCUUAUAUCAACUACAUGUUAUUAUAAUGCCAGUAUACAAUUAAUUUAGGAGAAAUUAGGUGAUUUUAGCUUUCAAACUGAAAGUAUUCAAUGUCAUAACUAAAAUUUUAUCAUUUUGUGUUGUUCAUUAUCAAUUAAGCACAAUGAAAAAUCAGUUAUUGUGUAAUGUAAUAGCUGGCUGGCUAACUUUCAAUUAAUUUUGACUGUAAGAUAAUGGUGGCAUAUUAUCGAGAUAGGCUUAUUAUCAAGACAUGCUUAUUAUUGAAUUUUUAGGGUAUACUAAAAUAUAUUUAAAAAGGUGGGAAAAAGUCAUAAUGUCAAAAUAAAACAAUUAUUUAAAAAUUUGCAAUGAUAGGUAAAUUAAUAGGAAAUUAUUUUUUUUAAAAAUCAUAUUAAGUGAAUGUAAAAUGACAAGUACAUAGCAACAUUUCACUUUGAAUAAUUUUUAAGUACAUUUUAAUAUUACUGUAAAUGUUUAUGUUUUAUCAAGUUUAUGUUUUAUGUUUUAUCAAGUUUAUGUUCAAGAAUUUAAUUAUUGUUAAAAAAUAUUGUUUUAAAUUGAAAAUAUGUCAUAAUAUAAAGUUUAUUUAUC